This is a long non-coding RNA of Mesocricetus auratus (golden hamster), 1595 nucleotides long. RefSeq lists it as uncharacterized. Lineage: Eukaryota; Metazoa; Chordata; Mammalia; Rodentia; Cricetidae. The transcript has 4 exons. The record is from RefSeq and is a predicted model, not a curated record.
CAUGGGAAAGACCUUGGCAGUUGGGGCUCCGAUAUUGACAGUUGUAACUGUGAUGUGCUGGGCUUGGGGCUCUACUGGUGAGUCUAGUUCCUGAGAUAAGAGGCCCUUGGUCUCUUUCUCCUGGGCAGCGUUCUGAGCUUCCUUAGCUGUGGCAAUGCCUACUCUGGCACAGAGAGAAAAUGCAAUGUUUGCUAGUGAGGAGAACGAGGCAGCAGCGAGAGAGCUUUGCACUUGAAGUCAUUUUGUGAAUCUUUUGAUUUUGAAUCACAUUAAUUCAGCCAACCUUUUAGAGGGUGCCUAUCAACACUGUGUCCCACUGACUGCCACAGCCACCGACUUCGAGGGGAGAGAGUCCUCCUGGAUGCCACAGGAGAAGAGGUGGCAGGCUGUACUCCUCUAUGAGACUCAGGCUAUCCUGGCUGAGAAGUCCAGAUUUUAUGAUUGUCCCUACUCUGUGGACACACAUGCACGUGACGCGGCUACACUUCUGGAGACUUGGAUCUGAGAAGAGCCAUCCUGUAUCGGUCUCUUUAUGUGACAAGGCUGACCCAGACUGGCAUUCAGAGUGCUUUAGCUUAACGGUUCUACAGCAGAAACGCCUGUCAAAAUGUCUUAGCAACAGAGUUGCUAGAGACCAAUACCAGUUUUGAGCUCUGCUGGGUAUCAGGUGUGAAUUUUGGCUCCAUUAGGACAAGGUAGAGCUUUUUGACUUCCCCCCUUCUGUUUAUCAUCAGUGUCUCUCCCGAAUGAUGACAGUGGUUUCUGAGCACCUAGUAAGCAUGAGGGCUGAGCAUCUCAUUUUACAAAUGGGCCAACUGAAGUACCAAGAUGACAUUCCUUGUGCACUGGGGAUCAUGGAGCUCAGGACUUCAGUGGUUAUGACCAGAGUGCUGUAUAUAACAUGUGGGUUGUUAUCUCCUAAGGGCUAGCCUGUGCUUUGUACAACACAUGGGUUGUUAUCCCCCAAGGGCUAGCCUGUGCUUUGGUGUAGUCCCUUGGCUGUAUACAGUAACCUACACCCUUCCCCCCCACCCCCCACGGCUCUGUAGAUUCCCAAGAACUGUAUGGCUGUGUCAGUUCUUCCUGAACUCUAUUGGGCAUGGACGUUCACAGUUCAAAUACCAGGCACAAGUUCUCUAAGAAUUGGGUCGGCACUUUGCUACCUCUCUUGACAGUUUCUCUCUUGGCAGCAUGCCUUCUUCUGACUUGGUCCACAGACCCAGAUCCCCUUUGGUUUUCAGAUAUUUCACAAACUCCACUGCUUCAUAAGAUUCCUAGUUGCAGAGUUUUGUGGGACUUGUCAACUUUGUUGAGCAAUGGAGGCAGCACAGCAAAUCUUAAGCUUGAAGAUGUACUCGCAGUACUGAGGUGUAGGGCUCAGAGAGUGCUUCUGGUACAGUGAAGUGUCCUCAGCCAGCUGAGCCUUUCUAAUGAGCCAUGGGAUUGCUGCUGCUGAGAUCCAUGCCCACGGCUACCCAAGGCCAAUGCUUUUCCUCUUUUCCGAUCAUCAAGAAUAGGAAAGAAUCGGAUCAGUCUCAAAAGGGAAGGUUCUGGUGCUGCACCAAACCAGGGGUCCCAGGUUAAUGGGUUCAAUG